Molecule: non-coding RNA, 1437 nt
Organism: Oncorhynchus mykiss (rainbow trout)
Lineage: Eukaryota; Metazoa; Chordata; Actinopteri; Salmoniformes; Salmonidae
Source: RefSeq, a predicted model, not a curated record
UUAUAUAACACCUUAUCCAUUCCUCAGCCCUUCCACCUCUAUUUAAAUGUCAACUACUUCAGCAUUACAUUUGACUAUUCACACGAUUCAGGAGCGAUUAACAAGUCAAGGUAAUAAGGAACAAUCUGCUGAACACUAAAUACCUUAUAGUCAGGGGCAAUAAGGAACAAUCUGCUGAACACUAAAUACCUGGGAGUCAGGGGCAAUAAGGAACAAUCUGCUGAACACUAAAUACCUUGGAGUCAGGGGUAAUAAGGAACAAUCUGCUGAACACUAAAUACCUUAUAGUCAGGGGCAAUAAGGAACAAUCUGCUGAACACUAAAUACCUGGGAGUCAGGGGCAAUAAGGAACAAUCUGCUGAACACUAAAUACCUGGGAGUCAGGGGCAAUAAGGAGCAAUCUGCUGAACACUAAAUACCUUAUAGUUAAGGUAAUAAGGAACAAUCUGCUGAACACUAAAUACCUUAUAGUCAGGGGCAAUAAGGAACAAUCUGCUGAACACUAAAUACCUGGGAGUCAGGGGCAAUAAGGAACAAUCUGCUGAACACUAAAUACCUUGGAGUCAGGGGUAAUAAGGAACAAUCUGCUGAACACUAAAUACCUUAUAGUCAGGGGCAAUAAGGAACAAUCUGCUGAACACUAAAUACCUGGGAGUCAGGGGCAAUAAGGAACAAUCUGCUGAACACUAAAUACCUUGGAGUCAGGGGUAAUAAGGAACAAUCUGCUGAACACUAAAUACCUGGGAGUCAGGGGCAAUAAGGAACAAUCUGCUGAACACUAAAUACCUGGGAGUCAGGGGCAAUAAGGAACAAUCUGCUGAACACUAAAUACCUUGGAGUCAGGGGUAAUAAGGAACAAUCUGCUGAACACUAAAUACCUUAUAGUCAGGGGCAAUAAGGAACAAUCUGCUGAACACUAAAUACCUGGGAGUCAGGGGCAAUAAGGAACAAUCUGCUGAACACUAAAUACCUUGGAGUCAGGGGUAAUAAGGAACAAUCUGCUGAACACUAAAUACCUGGGAGUCAGGGGCAAUAAGGAACAAUCUGCUGAACACUAAAUACCUAGGAGUCAGGGGCAAUAAGGAACAAUCUGCUGAACACUAAAUACCUUGGAGUCAGGGGCAAUAAGGAACAAUCUGCUGAACACUAAAUACCUUGGAGUCAGGGGCAAUAAGGAACAAUCUGCUGAACACUAAAUACCUAGGAGUCAGGGGCAAUAAGGAACAUUCUGCUGAACAAUAAAUACCUAGGAGUCAGGGGCAAUAAGGAACAAUCUGCUGAACACUAAAUACCUUGGAGUCAGGGGCAAUAAGGAACAAUCUGCUGAACACUAAAUACCUAGGAGUCAGGGGCAAUAAGGAACAAUAUCCUAAAAAACUCAAAGACCACCCUCGAACAAGACAAAUUAGAUGAUUAACAGACAGAGAAUCAUUACAA